RNAcentral lists this ribosomal RNA (253 nucleotides) under uncultured bacterium. RNAcentral's name for it is "partial 16S ribosomal RNA". It matches the Rfam family "Bacterial small subunit ribosomal RNA", at positions 524 to 776 of the family's 1533-position model. The record is from RNAcentral.
UACGUAGGCAGCGAGCGUUGUUCGGAAUUACUGGGCGUAAAGAGUGUGUAGGCGGUGCUCUAAGUUCGGUGUGAAAUCUCCUGGCUCAACUGGGAGGGUGCGCCGGAAACUGGAGUGCUUGAGCGUGGGAGAGGAAAGCGGAAUUCCUGGCGUAGCGGUGAAAUGCGUAGAUAUCAGGAGGAACACCUGUGGUGUAGACGGCUUUCUGGACCAUAGCUGACGCUGAGACACGAAAGCGUGGGUAGCAAACAGG